GAGAGAGAGAGAGAGAGAGUUAUUAUUGUGUUCAAUUAUUUUACUGAGGCCCAUCAAAAUUUGAUGUCCACAAAGUGAUUUAAUGACAAUUUGAGUGACCAUUAAUGAAGUUAAGCCAAAAUUUUAGAGGUUUUAUUUUUAAUUAAAAAAACAAGUGUCCAUUUGGCCUUGAGGUUGAAUUUGCUUUUUGAAAAUGCUUUGUUUUAGACGUUGCAAGAAGUAUUUGAAAUGUUUAUUUAAUUGUUGGAGUUUUUGCGGCUAAACAUGUCAAAUCUAUCUGAAAAAUCAUUUCUAAUUGCCGUAAUUGAUAUCUUAAGAUGAUGCCCUUGUUUAACAACAAUCCAAACAGAUUGAAAGUUUAGUAACUUUUAACUUUAGAUUUGUCAUGAAAAAUGCAGAAAAUCUUUUGAGUCUAGGCUUGCGAGCUACUUUUUAGCUUUGACAAGAACAAUUAAAUUGGAUCUUUGAAUAUGUAAAGGAUUUAUUUUUUUUUACUAUAAAAUAUAUGAGCGAAGCAAAAAAAUUAUGCAAAAAUAGUAGCAAUUUUUUUCUUGAUGGACUUAACAAUUUUAAUGGGUAGCUAGUAGCAGUCAUUAACUUUAUGUAGUGACAAUCAUGGUAAGCAAUUCUAAAAUCAAAGGCCAAAAGUCUACUACAUAAGUUAAUGGGUGAUAUUCAAUCCCAUGCUUUCUACUUGUUGAAAUGUCAACUAAAUCUGCAAACGCUGAUUAGAAUAUUGAAAAGUGAGGAUUCAUUGUACUUAGCCAAUGGGCUAGGUACAUGAAACCAAUGUUGCCUUACUUAGUAUUUCAUUCACUGAAAUAGGCCUUGUAGUAUUUUAGGUUUCAAAGUGACUUUUUUUUCUUGAUUCAAAUUCUUUUGUGGGUUUAAAUGCUUCAAUGUUUCUGAUACCCCAAAAACUAUUCUUCUCUUGAAAAAAUAUACUGGUUAGUUUUGUGUUCUAUGUUUUCAUAUUAAUAAACAUAGAUUUAUGAAGGAUUAUUAUAUUAUAAUUAUACCAGUAGAUGAGGCCAAGGGGUGAGAGAGAUGCUUGAUUCAAGUUUCAACUGCUAUCGAAGAGUUGAGAAAUUUUAUUAUUCUUUCAGGAAUGCUGAUGCAUCAAUAAAGGAAUGUUCUCUAUGCAAAACUACUAUGAGGAAUAUCUGGGCACCUUUUCUUAUUAAGAAUAUUUACAUUUGUUAUACAUGAGA
RNAcentral lists this unclassified non-coding RNA (1211 nucleotides) under Hevea brasiliensis (rubber tree). Lineage: Eukaryota; Viridiplantae; Streptophyta; Magnoliopsida; Malpighiales; Euphorbiaceae. The record is from RNAcentral.